CAAUAGCGUAUAUUAAAGUUGUUGCAGUUAAAAAGCUCGUAGUUGGAUUUCGGGACGGUCCGGCUGGUCCGCCGCAAGGCGUGUUACUGACCGGGCUGUCCUUCUUUGCAAAGGCUGCAUGUGCUCUUAACUGAGUGUGUGUAGGAUUUGUGACGUUUACUUUGAAAAAAUUAGAGUGUUCAAAGCAGGCUUAUGCCGUUGAAUAUAUUAGCAUGGAAUAAUAAGAUAGGACUUUGGUACUAUUUUGUUGGUUUGCGCACCAAAGUAAUGAUUAAUAGGGACAGUUGGGGGUAUUCGUAUUCCGUUGUCAGAGGUGAAAUUCUUGGAUUUACGGAAGACGAACUACUGCGAAAGCAUUUACCAAGGAUGUUUUCAUUAA
This 379-nucleotide ribosomal RNA is filed under the name uncultured eukaryote. RNAcentral's name for it is "partial 18S ribosomal RNA". It matches the Rfam family "Eukaryotic small subunit ribosomal RNA", at positions 592 to 976 of the family's 1831-position model. The record is from RNAcentral.